Molecule: non-coding RNA, 311 nt
Organism: Pelobates cultripes (western spadefoot toad)
Lineage: Eukaryota; Metazoa; Chordata; Amphibia; Anura; Pelobatidae
Source: the annotation of a GenBank genome assembly
GUCCAACAAAUUAAAUAGUUUACACGUGUUGUCUGAACCUUUUCUGUUUCGGACAAACGUUGCUUGCUCUAUAGAGAUUAAUGAGGGUAUUCGCUAGUUAAGCUGAGUUGCUAACAUUUUGGGGUAUAGUUUUAAGUAGGCAAGGCAUCUUGUCUCUCUAUGCACAACCUUGUGGGCCAGCCAGGUACUAAAGAUUGCUUUGUGAUAGUAUGGAUUGUUGCAGAAGAAUACUGUAAUGCUGCAUGACAGGCGUGCUCUUACUGGUGCCAUGGUCUUGGUGGUCAUCUGCAGUGCCUGGGGGUCUACCAGGC